RNAcentral lists this ribosomal RNA (497 nucleotides) under uncultured bacterium. Its description in RNAcentral is "partial 16S ribosomal RNA". It matches the Rfam family "Bacterial small subunit ribosomal RNA", at positions 28 to 507 of the family's 1533-position model. The record is from RNAcentral.
GAUGAACGCUGGCGGCGUGCCUAAUACAUGCAAGUCGAACGCAUAGCGAAAGGUGCUUGCACCUUUCAAGUGAGUGGCGAACGGGUGAGUAACACGUGGACAACCUGCCUCAAGGCUGGGGAUAACAUUUGGAAACAGAUGCUAAUACCGAAUAAAACUUAGUGUCGCAUGACACAAAGUUAAAAGGCGCUUCGGCGUCACCUAGAGAUGGAUCCGCGGUGCAUUAGUUAGUUGGUGGGGUAAAGGCCUACCAAGACAAUGAUGCAUAGCCGAGUUGAGAGACUGAUCGGCCACAUUGGGACUGAGACCCGGCCCAAACUCCUACGGGAGGCUGCAGUAGGGAAUCUUCCCCAAUGGGCGAAAGCCUGAUGGAGCAACGCCGCGUGUGUGAUGAAGGCUUUCGGGUCGUAAAGCACUGUUGUAUGGGAAGAACAGCUAGAAUAGGAAAUGAUUUUAGUUUGACGGUACCAUACCAGAAAGGGACGGCUAAAUACGUG